Molecule: ribosomal RNA, 305 nt
Filed under: uncultured bacterium
Lineage: Bacteria
Description: bacterial SSU rRNA
Rfam family: Bacterial small subunit ribosomal RNA
Source: RNAcentral
UUACCUACGGGGCGCAGCAGUGGGGAAUAUUGGGCAAUGGGCGCAAGCCUGACCCAGCAACGCCGCGUGAAGGAAGAAGGCUUUCGGGUUGUAAACUUCUUUUCUCAGGGACGAAGAAAGUGACGGUACCUGAGGAAUAAGCCACGGCUAACUACGUGCCAGCAGCCGCGGUAAUACGUAGGUGGCAAGCGUUAUCCGGAUUUAUUGGGUGUAAAGGGCGUGUAGGCGGGAGCGCAAGUCAGAUGUGAAAUCCUGCGGCUUAACCGCAGAACUGCAUUUGAAACUGUUGAUCUUGAGUACUGGAG